GGGGAAUAUUGCACAAUGGGCGGAAGCCUGAUGCAGCAACGCCGCGUGCGGGAUGACGGCCUUCGGGUUGUAAACCGCUUUCAGCAGGGACGAAGCUAACGUGACGGUACCUGCAGAAGAAGCACCGGCUAACUACGUGCCAGCAGCCGCGGUGAUACGUAGGGUGCGAGCGUUGUCCGGAUUUAUUGGGCGUAAAGAGCUUGUAGGCGGUUUGUCGCGUCGGGAGUGAAAACUCAGGGCUUAACCCUGAACCUGCUUCCGAUACGGGCAGACUUGAGGAAGGUAGGGGAGAAUGGAAUUCCUGGUGAAGCGGUGGAAUGCGUAGAUAUCAGGAGGAACACCAGUGGCGAAGGCGGUUCUCUGGACCUUUCCUGACGCUGAGAAGCGAAAGCGUGGGGAGCAAAC
RNAcentral lists this ribosomal RNA (405 nucleotides) under uncultured bacterium. RNAcentral describes it as "bacterial SSU rRNA". It matches the Rfam family "Bacterial small subunit ribosomal RNA", at positions 356 to 773 of the family's 1533-position model. The record is from RNAcentral.